CCUACGGGCGGCAGCAGUGAGGAAUAUUGGUCAAUGGACGAGAGUCUGAACCAGCCAAGUAGCGUGAAGGAUGACUGCCCUAUGGGUGGUAAACUUCUUUUAUAAAGGAAUAAAACGAGGCACGUGUGCCUUUUUGCAUGUACUUUAUGAAUAAGGAUCGGCUAACUCCGUGCCAGCAGCCGCGGUAAUACGGAGGAUCCGAGCGUUAUCCGGAUUUAUUGGGUUUAAAGGGAGCGUAGAUGGGUUGUUAAGUCAGUUGUGAAAGUUUGCGGCUCAACCGUAAAAUUGCAAUUGAUACUGGCAGUCUUGAGUACAGUUGAGGUAGGCGGAAUUCGUGGUGUAGCGGUGAAAUGCUUAGAUAUUACGAAGAACCCCGAUUGCGAAGGCAGCCUACUAAACUGUGACUGACAUUGAUGCUCGAAAGUGUGGGUAUCAAACAGGAUUAGAUACCCCUGUAGUC
RNAcentral lists this ribosomal RNA (460 nucleotides) under uncultured bacterium. Its description in RNAcentral is "partial 16S ribosomal RNA". It matches the Rfam family "Bacterial small subunit ribosomal RNA", at positions 338 to 795 of the family's 1533-position model. The record is from RNAcentral.